RNAcentral lists this ribosomal RNA (106 nucleotides) under Lepisosteus oculatus (spotted gar). Lineage: Eukaryota; Metazoa; Chordata; Actinopteri; Semionotiformes; Lepisosteidae. The record is from RNAcentral.
GCCAGCAGCCAUAUCACUCUGCAACCCACAACUGGCAACCCAGUGUGAGCCUGGUCAGUACCUGGAUGGGAGACCUCCUGGGAAAAAACUAAGGUUGCUGCUGGAA